This 492-nucleotide ribosomal RNA is filed under the name uncultured bacterium. Its description in RNAcentral is "partial 16S ribosomal RNA". It matches the Rfam family "Bacterial small subunit ribosomal RNA", at positions 29 to 507 of the family's 1533-position model. The record is from RNAcentral.
AGUGAACGCUGGCGGUAGGCCUAACACAUGCAAGUCGAACGGCAGCACAGUAAGAGCUUGCUCUUACGGGUGGCGAGUGGCGGACGGGUGAGGAAUACAUCGGAAUCUACUUUUUCGUGGGGGAUAACGUAGGUAAACUUACGCUAAUACCGCAUACGACCUACGGGUGAAAGCAUGGGAUCUUCGGACCUUGCGCGAUUGAAUGAGCCGAUGUCGGAUUAGCUAGUUGGCGGGUUAAAGGCCCACCAAGGCGACGAUCCGUAGCUGGUCUGAGAGGAUGAUAAGCCACACUGGAACUGGGCCACGGUCCAGACUCCUACGGGAGGCCGCAGUGGGGAAUAUUGGACAAUGGGCGCAAGCCUGAUCCAGCCAUACCGCGUGGGUGAAGAAGGCCUUCGGGUUGUAAAGCCCUUUUGUUGGGAAAGAAAAGCAGCAGGUUAAUACCACGCUGUUCUGACGGUAACCAAAGAAUAAGCACCGGCUAACUUCGUG